Molecule: transfer RNA, 109 nt
Filed under: Plenodomus tracheiphilus IPT5
Lineage: Eukaryota; Fungi; Ascomycota; Dothideomycetes; Pleosporales; Leptosphaeriaceae
Rfam family: tRNA
About the family: Transfer RNA (tRNA) molecules are approximately 80 nucleotides in length. Their secondary structure includes four short double-helical elements and three loops (D, anti-codon, and T loops). Further hydrogen bonds mediate the characteristic L-shaped molecular structure. tRNAs have two regions of fundamental functional importance: the anti-codon, which is responsible for specific mRNA codon recognition, and the 3' end, to which the tRNAs corresponding amino acid is attached (by aminoacyl-tRNA synthetases). tRNAs cope with the degeneracy of the genetic code in two manners: having more than one tRNA (with a specific anti-codon) for a particular amino acid; and 'wobble' base-pairing, i.e. permitting non-standard base-pairing at the 3rd anti-codon position.
Source: Rfam by way of RNAcentral
GCCUGGUUAGCUCAAUCGGUAGAGCGUGAGACUCUUAGUAGUCGACGUUCCCCAAGAACGAUUGAUCCAUCCAAUCUCAAGGUUGCGGGUUCGACCCCCGCAUCGGGCU